AAUGAACGUUGGCGGCGUGGAUUAGGCAUGCAAGUCGCGCGACAAGGAACCUUCGGGUUCUGGAGGAGCGGCAAACGGGGUAGUAAGGCAUCGGAACGUACCCUCUUGUUGGGAAUAGCCGCGGGAAACUGCGAGUAAUGCCCAAUAAUCCCUACGGGGCAAAGGUCCGCCGCAGGAGGAGCGGCCGAUGUGAUACCAGCUAGUUGGUGAGGUAAUGGCUCACCAAGGCUUAGACGUCUAGGGGGUGUGAGAGCAUGGCCCCCACCACUGGACGUGAGAUACUGCCACGACACCUACCGGGUGGGCGUGCAGUCG
Molecule: ribosomal RNA, 315 nt
Filed under: uncultured bacterium
Lineage: Bacteria
Description: bacterial SSU rRNA
Rfam family: Bacterial small subunit ribosomal RNA
Source: RNAcentral